CAGAAACAUUUUACUAUGGGCCUGAGAAGUCUGUCAAAGCAGAACAUUUUUUUAAAAUACCAGUACCAUCAGAGGAAUGUUCCUUUUAAGGUACCCUGCCCUGCUCUUUGCAUGAUGUCUUCCACAGUUAAACCCUCUGAGUCUGAAUUUGGCUUCAUCUGUACCUCAAACAAUCCAGGAAAGAUAUUGCCUGGAAUAUUCUGCCAGAAACGUGAAUGCUUCAGAAAAUUACAAACAACCAAAAUUUUGAGAAUUUAGAUUGUGCAGCAUUGUGUCCGUGAACUUCCAGAGUUUGCAUUAAAAAGUGACAGAACAUCAGAGUGCCAGAAGCUUCUCAUAUUGUGGCCCUGACGGUAAAAGUAAAAGAAACUAUCUUGGUCUGUGUUUGGGAACACUUGCCAAAACCUCUGCAAAGCUCUUGUGACAUGUAAGAGAUCUUAAAGAAGUGGGUUGGGAUUUUGACCAUGGACUAAAUACAAUUAAGAGAUGCUAAGGAGUAGCACUAGUGCUUUGCAUGUUUUCAGGGUGUUUCUUCUCCAAUUUCUAAAACCUAGAAAGAGGAAUCCAGUCCAAUGCCAUGAAUAGUUAGUGGUGUGCUAAGAAUUCAGUUUGCAUUUAUUUCCUUUUCAUUAUUCAAUGUA
Non-coding RNA from Sturnus vulgaris (Common starling), 641 nucleotides. The record is from RefSeq and is a predicted model, not a curated record. Lineage: Eukaryota; Metazoa; Chordata; Aves; Passeriformes; Sturnidae.